AGGGAGGAGAGAGGUACUCUGAAAAGUUUGCAGAGUGGGUAGGAAAUGACUGGAGCAUAGAGGAGAGUGAUCAGUGAUGGUGCAGUAGUUAGUGAGUGGUGGUGGGCUUGAUGGAGAGUGAGUGGUGGUGCUGGAGUGGUGGAGAGUGAGUGGUGAUGGUAGAUUGGAUGGAGAGUGAGUGGUGGUAGGACUGGGGGAGAGAGAGUGGUGAUGGUGUUGUAGGUGGAGAGUGAGUGGUGGUGCUGGAGUGGUGGAGAGUGAGUGGUGAUGGUGUUAUAGGUGGAGAAAGAGUGGUGAUGGUAGAUUGGAC
This 310-nucleotide long non-coding RNA is filed under the name Pan troglodytes (chimpanzee). RNAcentral's name for it is "long non-coding RNA NONPTRT004384". Lineage: Eukaryota; Metazoa; Chordata; Mammalia; Primates; Hominidae. The record is from RNAcentral.